RNAcentral lists this ribosomal RNA (510 nucleotides) under uncultured bacterium. RNAcentral's name for it is "partial 16S ribosomal RNA". It matches the Rfam family "Bacterial small subunit ribosomal RNA", at positions 28 to 507 of the family's 1533-position model. The record is from RNAcentral.
GACGAACGCUGGCGGCGUGCUUAACACAUGCAAGUCGAACGAAGAGCGAUGGAAGCUUGCUUCUAUCAAUCUUAGUGGCGAACGGGUGAGUAACGCGUAAUCAACCUGCCCUUCAGAGGGGGACAACAGUUGGAAACGACUGCUAAUACCGCAUACGAUCCAAUCUCGGCAUCGGGACUGGAUGAAAGGUGGCCUCUAUUUAUAAGCUAUCACUGAAGGAGGGGAUUGCGUCUGAUUAGCUAGUUGGAGGGGUAACGGCCCACCAAGGCGAUGAUCAGUAGCCGGUCUGAGAGGAUGAACGGCCACAUUGGGACUGAGACACGGCCCAGACUCCUACGGGCGGCAGCAGUGGGAAAUCUUCCGCAAUGGACGAAAGUCUGACGGAGCAACGCCGCGUGAGUGAUGACGGCCUUCGGGUUGUAAAGCUCUGUUAAUCGGGACGAAUGGUUCUUGUGCGAAUAGUGCGAGGAUUUGACGGUACCGGAAUAGAAAGCCACGGCUAACUACGUG